RNAcentral lists this non-coding RNA (46 nucleotides) under Schistosoma mansoni. The record is from RNAcentral. Lineage: Eukaryota; Metazoa; Platyhelminthes; Trematoda; Strigeidida; Schistosomatidae.
AUCCAGCUGAUGAGUCCCAAAAUAGGACGAAACGCGCGUCCUGGAU